AGCAGCCGCGGUAAUUCCAGCUCCAAUAGCGUAUAUUAAAGUUGUUGCAGUUAAAAAGCUCGUAGUUGAAUUUCGGGAUCAAUAUAUCGGUCGUGCCUUGGUACGUACUGGUAUCAUUGGUUUCUCCUUUCUGACGAACCAUGAUGUCAUUAAUUUGGUGUUAUGGGAAGUUAGGACUGUUACUUUGAAAAAAUUAGAGUGUUUAAAGCAGGCUUUAGCUUGAAUACAUUAGCAUGGAAUAAUGAAAUAGGACGUUCGAACCUAUUUUGUUGGUUUCUAGGAUCAACGUAAUGAUUAAUAGGGAUAGUUGGGGGCAUUAGUAUUCAAUUGUCAGAGGUGAAAUCUUGGAUUAUUGAAGACUAACUACUGCGAAAGCAUUUGCCAAGGAUGUUUUCAUUAAUCAAGAACGAAAGUUAGGGGAUCGAAGACGAUCAGAUACCGUCGUAGUCUUAACCAUAAACUAUGCCGACUAGGGAUCGGAUGAUGUUAAUUUUUUAAUGACUCAUUCGGCGCCUUACGG
RNAcentral lists this unclassified non-coding RNA (520 nucleotides) under uncultured Glomus. Its description in RNAcentral is "SSU rRNA". It matches the Rfam family "Eukaryotic small subunit ribosomal RNA", at positions 569 to 1093 of the family's 1831-position model. The record is from RNAcentral. Lineage: Eukaryota; Fungi; Glomeromycota; Glomeromycetes; Glomerales; Glomeraceae.